GAUGAAUCUAAAAGCUGCAGGAAAGUAGCUCUCGAGGACUAGGAUUGGGCACCCCUGCUCUACAGUAAUAGUGUGGGACCUAAAACUGUUGUUUCAAAUAUAUACAGUAUCUCUAUGCAAAGAAAUUCAUGCAGCAAACUCAUUUCUUUUAAAUGUGUUUGAGAAAAUUCUGAUUGUGAUGAGACACAAACUUAUGGCCACACUCGAGCACUUUGAAUCAACAAGAAGCCCAGAGUUACAUGAAGUUAACAUGCAGGAUCACAUGUUCAGGCUCCACAUGUUAAAUUAAGUAAUUAUGUGUAUCGUUGAUCACACGUAUAAUAUCAGGUUUUCUUGUUUGUGCCUUUUUAAAAAGUGUAUUUAUUUCUGCCUUGUUUGUACUUUGUUUGAGGAACUUUUAGUGCUCGUCAACUUCCCGUUUGUUUAUCACACAUUUAAGUUUGUUUAGAAGUGUGAAAUUUUGGGCCACUCAUUUUGGUCGUUCUUACUGGCGCACACAUGGAGGAC
Oreochromis aureus is the source of this 507-nucleotide long non-coding RNA. NCBI's taxonomy places the organism in Eukaryota, Metazoa, Chordata, Actinopteri, Cichliformes, Cichlidae. The record is from Ensembl.